Long non-coding RNA from Rhagoletis zephyria (snowberry fruit fly), 122 nucleotides. RefSeq lists it as uncharacterized. The record is from RefSeq and is a predicted model, not a curated record. Lineage: Eukaryota; Metazoa; Arthropoda; Insecta; Diptera; Tephritidae.
UUGACAUUUGUGUUAACUUGUUUUUUCAUAAAAUACAGUGAAACCUCCCUUGGGCGGACACUCACCGUCAGUCAUUUUUUGGCCGCCGAAGAGAGGUGUCCGCUCAAUGGAAGGGAAGCUUA